Molecule: long non-coding RNA, 2037 nt
Filed under: Calidris pugnax (ruff)
Lineage: Eukaryota; Metazoa; Chordata; Aves; Charadriiformes; Scolopacidae
Description: lncRNA (ENSCPUG00000011866.1)
Source: RNAcentral
AGGGAGUAAAGCCCUAACAAUACAGACUAGAAGCUGAAAGACCAUCUGCUGACUCUCUAUAGAAAGGGAAGUCUCUGGCUUGGUGGCUGCUGCAGGAGACCCAGGGGCCUGACUAGAGUGGAGGGAAAUAGGAGGCACACAUGGCUGGGUGAAGGGUCCAGCUUCUUUCCCUGGACCAUUGCUGAGGGGAACUGCAUUCUGCCACCAUGGUGGGUGUAUAAUGCUACUACCCUCGUCUUGAAUAGGGGAUCUGAGGCUACAAGUAGGAGGAGAGGCCUGUUUUUUCUGUCUGGCUGCUAUAAUUCCUUUUUAAAACCUUUUCAAAGUGCCUCUGUAUGAAUAAUCCUCUUGAGAAGAAGUGCACUAAAGUAUAAGAUACAAAUCCAAAAAAAAAAAAAAAAAAAAAAUAGAAGCAGCAUGAUGUUCCCACAGAUGUAGAUCUAAAAAGUGCCUUUAAGCGUUUUUUGGUCUCUACAUAAAGGUCUCUGGUGUCCUUAAAGCUUCAGUCCUGUGCGGGAUCUCUGGGAAUAUGAGACUAAUAAUUAAGGUUAGAAGCCUGGCAGUCUUGGUAGUGCUGUGUAGCUGUAAAAGGAAGCUGAGUCUUGAAUCAUGAGAAGAAGUGGUAGAAAACAUUUAAGCUACUGACUUUCUAUCUCUCUUGUCUGAGUUAAAGUGAGACAAUUUUCCUUCCAGCACCUGGCUAUUUCUUCUCAGUCUGCCACUUUGGAGAGCCUCCUCUUCUCCAAAGGGGGGAAGCAGCCGGGGAGAGGCUGGGAGACAGCAACCAGAGCUGGGGAGGCAGCACUCCUGACAGAGAAACAGCCCUUGCCAGCAGGACGGGUCCUCUACAGGUACACUGUGUGUCCUGGCUCCUCUCAGAGACAUUUGUUUUUCUCCCUUGGUUGUUACUGCUUUUCACUCCUUUGAGGGUUUCUGCAAGGAUUUCAGAUUUACUUCAUUUUUUGGAUAUAUUCAAGAAAAUGGAUCCUUCCAUAUCCUUAUUUCUAGAAGGAAGCAGAUGCAGGUACUGCUGUUAGACCAUGGUACUAGCCUGUCUUGUAUUUUUCCUAUGCGGAAGUUUUACAUAGAAUGACAGAGAAAACCAAGUAUUGGCCAAUACAGUAGAUCACAUGAUUUUUCUUUUGUGUUUUGCAUGUCACUGUGACCUUCUUGUCUCCUUAGAAGCAGGUCAGGCUAUAGUGCCUCAAGCAGCACUUUUCUCUUGCCCAUAAAUAGCAAGCCUGCAAUUACGGAAAGCCACGGUUAUCUGAAUUGGUAACAUAGGAUUGGUAUAUAAUUGCACAGCGACCUAAGAGAGUAAGCUUAAAUGACUUUCUGCAUCUCCCUCAUCUCUUGUUGCUUCUGUAAAUACACUCUACGUUGUUUCUGUGAUUAGUUAAUUCUUACACGUGGAAGUUGCAUGCCUUGUGUCAUUUUUCGUAAGGUUCUCAAGAGCAGAUUGAUCAGGUGCUUUUAGGAGCAUGUCUGCCAUCAGCAGCUAAUGUUGCAGUUUAUACAGUACUGAUGAGUAGUACAGGAACAGUUGAAAAAGGCCAGUUUUCUCAAGAUGUAAUUCCUCUGUAUGCAUGCUGCAUUGUCAUGGCCAUUUUUUGCCAGAACUGCUCUCCACUGCAUAUGCCUGUGUGCAGUAACACUCUAAUUCAGUAAGUAUUCUGGGAGCAUAGGUCAUUCACACCCAAAGUUCAUCAUAUUCUGGCACAUGCACUGAGCCUUAUGUUGCUUUUUGAGGUGUUUGUAGAAAACUUGCUCUGUCUUUUGGUGUAAAAGCAUGCAAGGAUGAUGGCUUCAUCUUAAGCCGUUCAAAGCAGAGAAGUCCCUUCUGGGGAGGCCAUUUCAGCUCCGUUUCUCUGUACAAGGACAUGAUGGUGAACAUGGGCUGACAAGACCAGUACGAACAUUCCUCCAGAGUUCAGUAUGCCUGCAUGCCACUGCAUUAGUUGUAUCUUAUUUUCACGCUUUCUCCUAGCGAUACUUUUUGUAUGACCUUCAAGUUAUCUCUUGAAUUUCAGUUCUGCU